GUAGCACACAAUAAUCUGAAGUUAGUGUUACUGGGUUAGUCAGUGAUGGAAAUGUGGAGCCUCAUAAUAUGUAAGUUAUCUCUAAUUAAUAGCUUUUCACUGAAACUAGUUUUGUGCAAAUUAAUUUGAAUAAUUCAUCUUAUACAAGCUUUGUUAGCAAAUUAAGCUUCUUUGAUCAGCUUUUUUCAUCAGUUAUAAAAAUUUAUUUUUAGCCAUCAAACCUUUUAUUUUUCCUUCUUUUCUUUAAGAUUUUUUUCUACUGUUAUUUUCUGGUGAAGAUGUUAUAGUAAUGAUGACAGUAUCUCCAAUGAAAGAUGGUCAUCCUGACUUCUGGCCAGCAGAAAUUUUUGGAAACUCCACUGUGAAAGCUGGAGAAAAUAUGCAGUUAACGUGCAUCGACUUUGACAAAAGUAAAGAAAAUAAACAGCUCCACCUGUACUUGCUUAAAAAUGGUGCUGGAGUGAUGAUGGAGUUAUUAGGAGAGAGACAUGAGCACAAGUUCACUGUGAAAAAUGUUUCAGUGCUGGACUCGGGAAAGUACAGCUGUGUGUUCUCAUUAACCAAAUAUCCCCUGAAAAACUUGAAUGCAUCAGCACUAAAACCAGGACAAAAAACAAUCCAAGUCUGGGUCACUGACAAUUCAUCAUCCAUUACUGACAAACAUCCUCAACAGAAAAUCCAGCACAGUGAUUAUCUGAAAAACCUGCUGAUUACGCUUCUUGUUUUGCUCCUGGUUGUGAUACUUUCUGUUGAAAUGUAUCGUAAUAGAGCCAAAAUGUUUACAGAGUUUUGCCACAAACAAGCACAAAGUGGACAGGAUAAUACAGGCUACUGUGAAGAGCAAGUGAUGCAGGCAGUGAACAGAGAAGAAUCCCUUCAUGACACGUGUGAAUAUUCCACAAUACCAGAAUUAAAGGUUUACACAAGUUCAGUAGAUAUUUGUUAUGCUGAGAGUGGAGUGUACAGUCUGGCUCAAACCAGUGCGGUGUACAGCUUAGCAGAGCACCCUGAUGUGAAGAUCAAUUCAAAACAACCUUAUAUGGAUGAUGUUUAUGCAAAAGUACAGAAGAAGAAAAAGGAAAUCACUCAUGUUGAUUUUUUGAUGUAUGAAUAGUUGUAUGUGCAGUUUUGUGCUUUAUAAGGUAAAGAAGUUUUGUGUUUUUGUUAAACUUCUUGAAAGGUUUGAAUAAAGUCUUUGGCGAUCUUAUUAACUCAUUUUAUAUAACUACAAUGGUUUCAUUAGGCCAGCAUGACACAUGAAAACAUCAUCUUUUAUUGAUGUUACUGUGAAAGUAGAAGGAAUGAACUCCAAGGUAUUAAUGACUUUAAUUAUAAAUGUCUUGUUUUUUACACACACACACACACACACACACACACACACACACACACACACACACACACACACACACACUUAUUGAUUGUGUACAUGUAGAGUGCAGUAUUAGUGUCUGAACACAGUUUUUGUGCUUAGUUUUUUGUCUUUUCUUUAGUUUAUUCCACUUCAUAAACUGAUGAGCAGUUCAUUGAGUGCCUCCAAAACAGUGAGAAAUACUACUGCUUCACCAGGCACAUUCCAUACUCUGGACCAUUAAUAUUCAUGGACAUAUUUAUGUGUUUGUCAUGUUUAUUUCCUGUUUUUAUACAGAACACUUGCAGGCAUUAUUAAUGAAUUAUGAUGUAUGACCACAGAGAGCUAAAAUUUCAAUUCAAGACCAAUCACACUUUAAAAAGAUCUAUUAGAUUCUUCAGCCAAACAUUUCAGGUCCACUGAUUUAAAUUUGAUUUUUUAUGAUACAUUAGAUCUACGGCACAGUUUGUGGAAGACACAGCAUCUGUGGUUUCCAAAAAGAAUUUUAAAUUUUGAUUCAUCUGACCACAGAACAGUUUUCCAUUUUGCCUCAGUCCAUUGUAAAUGAGCUUUGGCCCAGAGAAGAUGGCAGCAUUUCUGGAUCAUGUUGACAUAUUGCUUCUUCUCUGCAUAAUACAGCUUUAACUUGCAUUUGUGGAUUGCACAGCAAACUGUGUUCACAGACAAUGAUUUCUGGAAGUGUUCCUGAGUCCAUGCAAUGAUUUUCUGUACAGAAUCAUGCCUGUUUUUAAUGCAGUGCCGUCAGAGGGCACAACGAUCCUAAGCAUCCAGUAUUAACCGUCUGCCUUUCCCUGGUGCACAGGGAUUUCUCCAGAUUCUCUGAAUCUUUUCAUGAUAUUAUAUACUAUAGAUGGUAGGAUAUCCAAGGUCUUCACAACUUUAUGUUGAGGUACAUUUUUAUGAAACUUUUCCACAAUGUUUUGACACCUAUCUUCGCUUCUGAGAGACUUUGCCUCUCUAAAAUGCUCUUUUUUUAUUCCAGUCAUGUGAGUUAGUUGAAAAAUGCUUUUCCAACUGUUUAUUAGUACCACUUUUUCAGCCUCUUGUUGCCCCAUCCCAACUUUUUAAAAAAUUCUAUUUUUUUUUUUUACUUGUUUUUAAUUCUUAGAACCCUAGGGUAAUUAUGAAUGAUUUCUUGGCAUUUGGUCAAUUACAAUUGCAAUUAUAAGGUAUUUACAUGAGACAGCCACACAUGCCUUAUGUUGUUAUAUUCAAGAGACCCUAGGCUACUCAGAUAUGCCAUUAUUUCACAUGUACAUGCUAAAAGAAUGUUAAUAUCUUUAUGAAUCUGGCAAAUGGUUUGACAUUGUCUUGCUGAAACAAUCAAAGUUUUUCCUGAAAAAGACGUCAUCUGGAUGGCAGCAUAUUUUGCCAAAACAUGUAUAUAUCAUUUAGAAUUAAUGGUGGACACGGAUGUGUGUGUCACCCAUGCCAUGUGCACUAAUUCACCUCGAUAUUAUCAUGAAAUCCGGAUUUAGAACUGGGUACUGAUAACAAGCCUGAUGGUCUUUAACCUGGAGAAUGCUGUGUCCAUGAGCCAGUGUCCAGGACCACAGGACACUUUUCCACUUCCCCUCAGUCCUGAACCUGAUCAUGAACAGUGUCAGUUAGUUUUGAUGCUGCUUCAGUACAUGCAGCCUCAGAUAUCAGCAUUUGUUAGCUAACAUCUUUGAAGAACAUCAGGCGAUUUUCAUACCCAGUUCAUUUUCUAAAGACUGCACCACAAUUUGUUUGUGAUAUUUCAUCUUUUCCCUUUGAUUCAGAUUGUGGACUGCAAGGGCUAAAGUAGACUAAAUUAUUCACACAAGUGGUGUUUGUUUAUUGAUCAGAGGUUUUGCAGGGAUGUAAGCACUCUGUUACUCUCAUAUUCACCUCCAUGAAAACAGAGAAAAAUAAAAUAGAGACUGAUCAUCUUUGUGAAUUCCAAAUUAAGUUUAACUGAUCAGGGGCCUGGUGCUUGGCCAAAAAUUAGCUACACAAUCCAUAAUCAAAUUCUUGUUAUUACUUUAUUGCAUGUCUUUUGUUAUUUACAGCAGCUCUCUCACAGUGCAUGAACAAGCAGUGGCAUUCUUGCAAAACCUCUGAUCAAUAAACACGUGUGUGAGCAGUUGUAAAGAGUGCAGUGUUAAAGCAGCAGAAAAUAUUGAACUCUGAAAGUAGUGCGGCAUUGCUGCAGUUUCAAAAGUAGUGGGGCAAUGGCCUGCUUGCCACUGUGGUUCCAGCGGCCCUGCUAACAGGUGCAACCCCACCAGUGGCUGCAUCAUCCUCUCAUCAACUGUCCUUUCAUCCUCUCUGAAUGUGUAAAGAAAGAAGAGCAUUAUGCGUGUCUGUGAAGAACUUUAGGCUGCUGGCAGUUUGGUGACUUCUUGUGCUGUUUUUAAAUAGCCCCAUUAGUUUCUAAUUAUGCCUUGACCUCACUGUGUUGUGCUCUCUCUCUCUCUCUCUCUCUCUCUCUCUCUCUCUCUCUCUCUCUCUCUCUGUGCCUUUGCAUCUUACUAAUAUCACUUUGUAUAGACACAUGAAGUGAGUACCACCUGCUGUAGUUAUGUGCAGGUUAGCUCCAGUCAGUCAGGUUGGCAGUUUUAUUCUUUUAAUUGCUUUGGCAUUGUCCAGAGUCCACCAUCACUGCUAACUAUGUACACAGUAUCCUUAUUCCCAGCAUUCUGAGUGCUGGCUGCAGAUUUGACUUUCGAUCACACUGAGUCUUAUGAAUUAACCUUGUUAGCCAGUUACAUAUUCAGAAUAUUGAGGGUGUCUAGCUAGAUGUUUUCUUUUUUUAUUAUCAAAUGUCCUAUAUCCCUUUCCUAUUUCACUACAACACCUGUAAAUGUGAAUGUUGCUCAAUAUUGUAUUAUACUCACAUUUCCAAAAAGUUACACUAUGUCUAAAAGUGAUUCUCCUGUUGACUUUAAUAAACACCUUUUACCCCUAGGCGCAAGUGUAUGUAAAUUAAAUAAC
This is a long non-coding RNA of Pygocentrus nattereri (red-bellied piranha), 4327 nucleotides long. The record is from Ensembl. NCBI's taxonomy places the organism in Eukaryota, Metazoa, Chordata, Actinopteri, Characiformes, Serrasalmidae.